Molecule: ribosomal RNA, 508 nt
Filed under: uncultured Glomus
Lineage: Eukaryota; Fungi; Glomeromycota; Glomeromycetes; Glomerales; Glomeraceae
Description: SSU rRNA
Rfam family: Eukaryotic small subunit ribosomal RNA
Source: RNAcentral
AGCAGCCGCGGUAAUUCCAGCUCCAAUAGCGUAUAUUAAAGUUGUUGCAGUUAAAAAGCUCGUAGUUGAAUUUCGGGGUCAGCAGGUCGGUCGUGCCUACGGUAUGCACUGGCCUUGCUGAUUCCUCCCUCUUGAUGAGCCGUAAUGUCAUUAAUUUGGUGUUGCGGGGAAUCAGGACUGUUACUUUGAAAAAAUUAGAGUGUUUAAAGCAGGCAAGCGCUUGAAUACAUUAGCAUGGAAUAAUGAAAUAGGACGUUCGAUCCUAUUUUGUUGGUUUCUAGGAUUGACGUAAUGAUUAAUAGGGAUAGUUGGGGGCAUUAGUAUUCAAUUGUCAGAGGUGAAAUUCUUGGAUUUAUUGAAGACUAACUACUGCGAAAGCAUUUGCCAAGGAUGUUUUCAUUAAUCAAGAACGAAAGUUAGGGGAUCGAAGACGAUCAGAUACCGUCGUAGUCUUAACCAUAAACUAUGCCGACUAGGGAUCGGAUGAUGUUAAUUUUUUAAUGACUCA